AUGGAGACCUUGCCGCCAUUACCCGCUCGUGGAUGGAACUCCCUCUUCGACCGUCUCUUUGGCGGCCGCCGGCGCCGGUGCCCUGCUCUCCCGCUCCCUGUCCACAGUUCCGUCGGUCAUUCUCUCCGUACUUACAGGGAUAUUUACAACAAGCCCAUUGGCUGCGUCAUCUUGGAGGAAAUUAUGCAACGCACACUGUCCUAUUUGCGUAGCAUUGAUGAAAAUUUGGAGUAUUGGAGCUCCAAGAAUUGUUGGGGUUCAUCAUAUUCACAGACAAUGUAUUUCAUGAUAUUUCAAAGAGGUCCAGGUGCUUUUGUUGAAGCAACAUGCCCACGUCUGACUGGACUUGGGAACAACGGAGGUCCAUCGCAGAGCCUUUUCGAGUCUGCAUAUAAUAUUAUCUCAACAAACAUUCAUGUCCUGAAGAGUAUCAAUCGCUGCUUGGCUGUUUUUCUUGCUGAGGUUUAUCAGCAAGCAGAUAUAGGCAAAGAAGGAUUAACUGGAAGUCAUCGUGAAUCCCUAUGUACACUAUUUAUUGUUUUGAACCAUGUCUUUCCCAAGUUGGAGGAAUUACACAGAAAGGGCCAAACUCUUCUAUUCACAAAUGAUGAAAACCCAUCUGAACUUCAAUUCAAAAGAUUGCCAGAAGUUGACAUUAAUAGUUCACAAUGGACAGAUGCAUUCUCAGCAAAUGCUAUAGGUUUGAUCUAUCAAAACCUCGAGAAUCUAGAUAAUUUUGUUUCCACUUUGCUUUCAAGGCAUAAAAAACCAACACAUAUGACCUUAUACUGGUUCCCCUACACAUGUGGAGCAAUUGGCUUCUCGUUAUGCUCUCUAUGGCUAUUACGCCAUAGUAGCUUGAUGGGAAGUUCUGACGACUAUAACUUGGUUCAACAUGCUAAGAAGUCCAUUGCUCGAUUCUGGAGUGAUCCCAUUGAACCAUGGGCGCGAUAUGCCGAUCGCGCAGAAAAUGUUCCUGAGCUCUCCCAAGUCCAGGCAAUGGCAUCCUCAAUGCCCGAGAGCCACCAAUCUGUCCAAAAUCGGGCCAUCUCCCCAUCUCCAAGCGUGCACCUUGUCGCUGCCUUGUAUAUUCCCAUCGAUUCAUCUGAUACUUGUAUGUUAAACUCACUCCACGGCCUGGUGGAGUCGGACGAAGCUAGAAGGCCAGAGAUCCAUGCCAUCCAUUUAUUGUUGAAUCCCAUGUCGGCCCAUCAUCCGACGAUUGAUCCUGUCAUUGCUCUUGUCCGACGGGUCCGAAAUCAGAUUGAAAACAGCUGCAGGUAUGCCUGCCUGGCCUCCUCGCCAAUCACCUCUCCUUCUCUUGAUCCGCGUCGGGAUGGUCAAAUUCAUCAUCGCCAUCUCCAUCGUCGCCGGAAGAGGGACCAGAGCUCUGCACCGUAUUCUCCGUGUUCACUGUGUGAAUGGUAA
Molecule: ribosomal RNA, 1428 nt
Filed under: Triticum aestivum (bread wheat)
Lineage: Eukaryota; Viridiplantae; Streptophyta; Magnoliopsida; Poales; Poaceae
Description: partial small subunit ribosomal RNA
Source: RNAcentral